RNAcentral lists this ribosomal RNA (241 nucleotides) under uncultured bacterium. RNAcentral's name for it is "partial 16S ribosomal RNA". It matches the Rfam family "Bacterial small subunit ribosomal RNA", at positions 16 to 235 of the family's 1533-position model. The record is from RNAcentral.
GUCCUGGCUCAGGAUGAACGCUGGCGGCGUGCUUAACACAUGCAAGUCGAGCGAAGCACUUUGCUUUGAUUUCUUCGGGAUGAAGAGCUUGGUGACUGAGCGGCGGACGGGUGAAGGUAACGCGUGGGUAACCUGCCUCAUACAGGGGGAUAACAGUUAGAAAUGACUGCUAAUACCGCAUAAGACCACAGCACCGCAUGGUGCAGGGGUAAAAACUCCGGUGGUAUGAGAUGGACCCGCG